RNAcentral lists this ribosomal RNA (104 nucleotides) under Mus pahari (shrew mouse). RNAcentral's name for it is "rRNA (MGP_PahariEiJ_G0032621.1)". Lineage: Eukaryota; Metazoa; Chordata; Mammalia; Rodentia; Muridae. The record is from RNAcentral.
GUCUAUGGCCAUACCACGCUGAAAGGUCUGAGCUCAGAAGCUAAGCAGGGUUGGGCUGGUUAGUACUUGGAUGGGAGAAGAGUAUAUACCAGGGUGAGCUGACC